CACGUAGGGGGCAAGCGUUGUCCGGAAUCAUUGGGCGUAAAGAGCUCGUAGGCGGCUCAGUAAGUCGGGUGUGAAACCUCCAGGCUCAACCUGGAGACGCCACCCGAUACUGCUGUGGCUAGAGUCCAGUAGGGGAGUGUGGAAUUCCCGGUGUAGCGGUGAAAUGCGCAGAUAUCGGGAGGAACACCAGCGGCGAAGGCGGCACUCUGGGCUGGUACUGACGCUGAGGAGCGAAAGUGUGGGGAGCGAACAGG
This 254-nucleotide ribosomal RNA is filed under the name uncultured bacterium. Its description in RNAcentral is "partial 16S ribosomal RNA". It matches the Rfam family "Bacterial small subunit ribosomal RNA", at positions 524 to 776 of the family's 1533-position model. The record is from RNAcentral.